Molecule: ribosomal RNA, 250 nt
Filed under: uncultured bacterium
Lineage: Bacteria
Description: partial 16S ribosomal RNA
Rfam family: Bacterial small subunit ribosomal RNA
Source: RNAcentral
UACAGAGGUCCCAAGCGUUGUUCGGAUUCACUGGGCGUAAAGGGUGCGUAGGUGGUAGAUCAAGUCGGGUGUGAAAUCUCCGGGCUCAACCCGGAGCGUGCGCCCGAAACUGGUCUGCUAGAGGGUGGGAGGGGAGACUGGAAUUCUCGGUGUAGCAGUGAAAUGCGUAGAUAUCGAGAGGAACACCGGUGGCGAAGGCGAGUCUCUGGACCACUCCUGACACUGAGGCACGAAAGCCGGGGGAGCAAAC